RNA transcript from Schistocerca cancellata (South American locust), 1581 nucleotides. It is a transcript of the gene named peptidyl-prolyl cis-trans isomerase E, with no coding region annotated. The transcript is spliced from 7 exons. The record is from RefSeq and is a predicted model, not a curated record. Lineage: Eukaryota; Metazoa; Arthropoda; Insecta; Orthoptera; Acrididae.
UCCCGAUACACUUUUGUUCACUGUAUGUUGCAUGUCGCAUGAUUGAAAACUGAGUUUCAAAUGUGUAGUUUUGUGUUGUGAAAGACUUCAAUGCUAUGACAACAAAUACUAAACGUACGGUUUAUGUUGGUGGUUUGGCAGAAGAAGUUGAUGAGAAAGUUCUGCAUGCAGCAUUCAUUCCAUUUGGUGAUAUAGUUGACAUUCAGAUACCUCUUGAUUAUGAAACUGAAAAACAUAGAGGUUUUGCAUUUGUUGAAUUUGAGGCAGCCGAAGAUGCAGCAGCUGCUAUUGACAACAUGAAUGAUUCAGAACUUUUUGGAAGAACCAUUAGAGUAAAUUUGGCAAAACCUCAGAAGAUUAAAGAAGGCUCAUCAAAACCCGUUUGGGCAGAUGAUUCUUGGCUUCAAGAACAUGCUGGUGCAACAUUAAAGAAAGCUGAUAAUGCAACCAAGAGAUCUGCUAAUGGAGAAACAACUGAGGAUGAACCUGAAACAAAGAAAGUUAAGAAAAAUCCACAAGUAUAUUUUGACAUCAAAAUAGGAAAAGUUGAUGUUGGUCGUAUAAUAAUGAUGCUCAGAAGUGACAUAGUUCCCAAAACUGCAGAAAAUUUUAGAUGUCUUUGUACACAUGAAAAAGGUUUUGGUUAUCAAGGAAGUACCUUUCAUCGAAUAAUACCUGAUUUUAUGUGCCAAGGAGGAGAUUUCACUAACCAUAAUGGCACAGGGGGUAGAUCUAUAUAUGGAAGUAAAUUUGAAGAUGAGAAUUUUACUCUCAAGCACACUGGACCUGGAACACUUUCCAUGGCCAAUUCUGGUCCUAAUACUAAUGGAUCACAGUUCUUUCUGUGCACUGCCAGGACUGACUGGCUAGAUGGGAAGCAUGUUGUAUUUGGCCAUGUUAUUAGUGGUCUAGAUGUCCUAAAGAAAAUGGAGGUAAUGCUGUAUUUUCCUAAGUAAUAAUGUAGUUGUAGUCUAGAUGGGAAGCAUGUUGUAUUUGGCCAUGUUAUUAGUGGUCUAGAUGUCCUAAAGAAAAUGGAGAAAUGUGGGACAAAAGCAGGCACACCAACAGAAAAAGUGACAAUUGCAGCAUGUGGGGAACUUGUUUAAUUUUAUCUACAGUUCUAUGUAUGGGGACAUCCACUGCAUGAACAUGUGUCCCUUGAAAUCUGCUGGGCAGUACAAAUUAAUUAUAAUUGUGCAACUGUGAACAUUUUUAAAACUGUCACCACUGUGAAGCAACUGUGUCUGUACAUUGGAAUGUUACCUUCUAAUUUCUAUGAGAUUACUAGAAAAUAGAAGAAACAUUGCUAUUGAGAAGAAGAAGAAGAAAACACACACACACACACACACACACACACACACACACACACACACACACACACACACACACACACUGUGAUAUUCACUGUUGUUGAAGAUGUGCCUUGUAUAUACAGUGAAAUUAUUAGCCUAUCUUUUAUUUUGGAGCAAACUGAUUUUGUAGCAUUUUUUAAAAUUGUUGUUAAUGUCAUUGAUUUUUACAUCAUAGGUUCUUAUCAUAUUUGAAGUGGUGUAGAAGUAUUGAUGUUUACAUAAAAUUCUU